This 58-nucleotide transfer RNA is filed under the name Ascoschoengastia sp. TATW-1. RNAcentral describes it as "tRNA-Thr". Lineage: Eukaryota; Metazoa; Arthropoda; Arachnida; Trombidiformes; Trombiculidae. The record is from RNAcentral.
GAAAGAAUAGUUUAUAAAAAACAUUGAUUUUGUAAAUCAGAGAAAUAAUUUUUAUCUU